AACGAACGCUGGCGGCAUGCCUAACACAUGCAAGUCGAACGAGACCUUCGGGUCUAGUGGCGCACGGGUGCGUAACGCGUGGGAACCGGCCCUUAGGUUCGGAAUAACUCCCCGAAAGGGGUGCUAAUACCGGAUAAUGUCUUCGGACCAAAGAUUUAUCGCCUUUGGAUGGGCCCGCGUUGGAUUAGCUAGUUGGUAGGGUAAAAGCCUAUCAAGGCGACGAUCCAUAGCUGGUCUGAGAGGAUGAUCAGCCACACUGGGACUGAGACACGGCCCAGACUCCUACGCGAGGCAGCAGUGGCGAAUAUUGGACCAUGGGCGAAAGCCUGAUCCAGCACUGCCGCGUGAGUGAUGAAGGCCUUAGGGUUGUAAAGCUCUUUUACCCGGGAUGAUAAUGACAGUACCGGGAGAAUAAGCUCCGGCUAACUCCGUG
This 433-nucleotide ribosomal RNA is filed under the name uncultured bacterium. Its description in RNAcentral is "partial 16S ribosomal RNA". It matches the Rfam family "Bacterial small subunit ribosomal RNA", at positions 29 to 507 of the family's 1533-position model. The record is from RNAcentral.